GCCUGAUGCAGCAACGCCGCGUGAGGGACGACGGCCUACGGGUUGUAAACCUCUUUUAGCAGGGAAGAAGCGAAAGUGACGGUACCUGCAGAAAAAGCACCGGCUAACUACGUGCCAGCAGCCGCGGUAAUACGUAGGGUGCAAGCGUUGUCCGGAAUUAUUGGGCGUAAAGAGCUCGUAGGCGGUUUGUCGCGUCUGCUGUGAAAUCCCGAGGCUCAACCUCGGGCCUGCAGUGGGUACGGGCAGACUAGAGUGCGGUAGGGGAGAUUGGAAUUCCUGGUGUAGCGGUGGAAUGCGCAGAUAUCAGGAGGAACACCGAUGGCGAAGGCAGAUCUCUGGGCCGUAACUGACGCUGAGGAGCGAAAGCGUGGGGAGCGAACAGGAUUAGAUACCCUGGUAGUCCACGCCGUAAACGUUGGGAACUAGAUGUGGGGACCAUUCCACGGUCUCCGUGUCGCAGCUAACGCAUUAAGUUCCCCGCCUGGGGAGUACGGCCGCAAGGCUAAAACUCAAAGGAAUUGACGGGGGCCCGCACAAGCGGCGGAGCAUGCGGAUUAAUUCGAUGCAACGCGAAGAACCUUACCAAGGCUUGACAUAUACGAGAACGGGCCAGAAAUGGUCAACUCUUUGGA
RNAcentral lists this ribosomal RNA (632 nucleotides) under Leifsonia sp. So3Pt_85. RNAcentral describes it as "bacterial SSU rRNA". It matches the Rfam family "Bacterial small subunit ribosomal RNA", at positions 381 to 1022 of the family's 1533-position model. The record is from RNAcentral. Lineage: Bacteria; Bacillati; Actinomycetota; Actinomycetes; Micrococcales; Microbacteriaceae.